UACGGGGGGAGCAAGCGUUGUUCGGAUUUACUGGGCGUAAAGGGCGCGUAGGCGGCGCAACAAGUCACUUGUGAAAUCUCCGGGCUUAACCCGGAGCGGUCAAGUGAUACUGUCGUGCUAGAGUGCGGAAGGGGCUACUGGAAUUCUCGGUGUAGCGGUGAAAUGCGCAGAUAUCGGGAGGAACACCGGUGGCGAAGGCGGUUCUCUGGGCCUUACCUGACGCUGAGGAGCGAAAGCGUGGGGAGCGAACAGG
Molecule: ribosomal RNA, 253 nt
Filed under: uncultured bacterium
Lineage: Bacteria
Description: partial 16S ribosomal RNA
Rfam family: Bacterial small subunit ribosomal RNA
Source: RNAcentral